RNAcentral lists this ribosomal RNA (406 nucleotides) under uncultured bacterium. RNAcentral describes it as "partial 16S ribosomal RNA". It matches the Rfam family "Bacterial small subunit ribosomal RNA", at positions 29 to 526 of the family's 1533-position model. The record is from RNAcentral.
AUUGAACGCUGGCGGCAGGCCUAACACAUGCAAGUCGAACGAGUGGCGGACGGGUGAGGAAUGUCUGGGAAACUGCCCGAUGGAGGGGGAUAACUACUGGAAACGGUAGCUAAUACCGCAUACCAUCGGAUGUGCCCAGAUGGGAUUAGCUAGUAGGUGGGGUAAAGGCUCACCUAGGCGACGAUCCCUAGCUGGUCUGAGCGGAUGACCAGCGACACGGGAACUGGGACACGGUCCAUGCUCCUACGGGAUGCACCAGUGGGGAAUAUGGGACAAUGGGCGCAAGCCUGAUGCAGCCAGGCCGCGUGUAUGAAGAAGGCCUUCGGGUUGUAAAGUAUGUUCAGCGGGGAGGCGGUACCCGCAGAAGAAGCACCGGCUAACUCCGUGCCAGCAGCCGCGGUAAUUC